Molecule: transfer RNA, 74 nt
Filed under: Sphaerobolus stellatus SS14
Lineage: Eukaryota; Fungi; Basidiomycota; Agaricomycetes; Geastrales; Sphaerobolaceae
Description: tRNA-Leu (AAG) (tRNA-Leu-AAG-11-1)
Rfam family: tRNA
About the family: Transfer RNA (tRNA) molecules are approximately 80 nucleotides in length. Their secondary structure includes four short double-helical elements and three loops (D, anti-codon, and T loops).
Source: RNAcentral
GCCUCGUUGGCCUAAUGGUAGGGUGUCUCUGCGCAAGAAGCGGGAGCUUGUGGGUUCGACCCCCACACGAGGUA